RNAcentral lists this ribosomal RNA (459 nucleotides) under uncultured bacterium. RNAcentral's name for it is "partial 16S ribosomal RNA". It matches the Rfam family "Bacterial small subunit ribosomal RNA", at positions 338 to 795 of the family's 1533-position model. The record is from RNAcentral.
CCUACGGGGGGCAGCAGUGAGGAAUAUUGGUCAAUGGGCGGGAGACUGAACCAGCCAAGCCGCGUGAGGGAGGAAGGUACAGAGUAUCGUAAACCUCUUUUGUCAGGGAACAAAGACUGGGACGCGUCCCCGGAUGAGUGUACCUGAAGAAAAAGCAUCGGCUAACUCCGUGCCAGCAGCCGCGGUAAUACGGAGGAUGCGAGCGUUAUCCGGAUUUAUUGGGCUUAAAGGGUGCGCAGGCGGGCUGUUAAGUCAGCGGUCAAACCCCGGGGCUCAACCCCGGCCCGCCGUUGAAACUGGGCGUCUCGAGUUGGCGAGAAGCAUGCGGAAUGCGCGGUGUAGCGGUGAAAUGCAUAGAUAUCGCGCAGAACCCCGAUUGCGAAGGCAGCCUGCCGGCUCCACACUGACGCUGAGGCACGAAAGCGUGGGUAUCGAACAGGAUUAGAUACCCGAGUAGUC